UGGGGGAUAUUGCACAAUGGGCGAAAGCCUGAUGCAGCGACGCCGCGUGAGGGAAGACGGCCUUCGGGUUGUAAACCUCUGUCAUUCGGGACGAAUUAGAUGACGGUACCGAAGAAGGAAGCUCCGGCUAACUACGUGCCAGCAGCCGCGGUAAUACGUAGGGAGCGAGCGUUGUCCGGAAUUACUGGGUGUAAAGGGAGCGUAGGCGGGAAAGCAAGUUGGAAGUGAAAUGCAUGGGCUUAACCCAUGAGCUGCUUUCAAAACUGUUUUUCUUGAGUGAAGUAGAGGCAGGCGGAAUUCCUAGUGUAGCGGUGAAAUGCGUAGAUAUUAGGAGGAACACCAGUGGCGAAGGCGGCCUGCUGGGCUUUAACUGACGCUGAGGCUCGAAAGCGUGGGUAGCAAACAGGAUUAGAUACCCUGGUAGUCCACGCUGUAAACGAUGAUUACUAGGUGUGGGGGAUUUCGGUCCUCCGUGCCGGAGCAAACGCAAUAAGUAAUCCACCUGGGGAGUACGGCCGCAAGGCUGAAACUCAAAGGAAUUGACGGGGGCCCGCACAAGCAGUGGAUUAUGUGGUUUAAUUCGAAGCAACGCGAAGAACCUUACCAGGUCUUGACAUCCGAUGCAUAGCUCAGAGAUGAGUGAAAUCCCUUCGGGGACAUCGAGACAGGUGGUGCAUGGUUGUCGUCAGCUCGUGUCGUGAGAUGUUGGGUUAAGUCCCGCAACGAGCGCAACCCCUAUUGAUAGUUGCUACGCAAGAGCACUCUAUCGAGACUGCCGUUGACAAAACGGAGGAAGGUGGGGAUGACGUCAAAUCAUCAUGCCCUUUAUGACCUGGGCUACACACGUAAUACAAUGGCGCAAAACAGAGGGAAACAAGACCGCGAGGUGGAGCAAAACCCUAAAAGGCGUCUUAGUUCAGAUUGCAGGCUGCAACUCGCCUGCAUGAAGGUGGAAUUGCUAGUAAUCGCGGAUCAGCAUGCCGCGGUGAAUACGUUCCC
RNAcentral lists this ribosomal RNA (999 nucleotides) under uncultured bacterium. RNAcentral's name for it is "bacterial SSU rRNA". It matches the Rfam family "Bacterial small subunit ribosomal RNA", at positions 355 to 1375 of the family's 1533-position model. The record is from RNAcentral.